ACAGAAGCCUGGACGCCGGCGGCGAGGUUGUAGUGCACGCGCGUUAUGGUCGUUACACGGCGCGUGGGGUCUUGCCGUCUCCCUCAACUGCUCCAGGCUCAGGUUGCGCACUCAGUGUCCGCAGUGAGAUGGGCACAGUCGAUUAAAUCACAUUAAAUACAAGUCUUUUUUUUUUUUAGACGGAGUCUAAAAAAUAAUAUGGUCAUAAAUAGCUGGGCACACUGCAAACUGGAACAGUCCCUUUCAGAAGGAAAUUUGUGUUUUUGUGUUGUUUUUUGAGACAAGGUUUUUUCUUGUUUUUUGUUUUUUUGAGACGGAGUCUUGCUCUGUCGCCCAGGCUGGAGUGCAGUGGUGUGAUCUCGGCUCACUGCAAC
This 374-nucleotide long non-coding RNA is filed under the name Homo sapiens (human). RNAcentral's name for it is "non-protein coding lnc-FANCD2OS-3:2". The record is from RNAcentral. Lineage: Eukaryota; Metazoa; Chordata; Mammalia; Primates; Hominidae.